UUUUAAGUAUAAGUAUACUCCAUAAAAUAUUUGGGGCAUAUUUAUACUACAA
Molecule: microRNA precursor, 52 nt
Filed under: Loxodonta africana (African savanna elephant)
Lineage: Eukaryota; Metazoa; Chordata; Mammalia; Proboscidea; Elephantidae
Description: mir-1302 microRNA precursor family
Rfam family: mir-1302 microRNA precursor family
Source: Rfam by way of RNAcentral